Molecule: ribosomal RNA, 274 nt
Filed under: uncultured bacterium
Lineage: Bacteria
Description: partial 16S ribosomal RNA
Rfam family: Bacterial small subunit ribosomal RNA
Source: RNAcentral
AUACGGAGGGCACAAGCGUUGUUCGGAAUUAUUGGGCGUAAAGCGCGUGUAGGCGGCUGGGUAAGUCGGGUGUGAAAGUCCGGGGCUCAACCCCGGAAUUGCACUCGAAACUACCUAGCUAGAGUCUCGGAGAGGAGGGCGGAAUUCCCGGUGUAGAGGUGAAAUUCGUAGAUAUCCGGAGGAACACCAGUGGCGAAGGCGGCCCUCUGGACGAUGACUGACGCUCAGACGCGAAAGCGUGGGGAGCAAACAGGAUUAGAAACCCCAGUAGUCC